This 467-nucleotide ribosomal RNA is filed under the name uncultured bacterium. Its description in RNAcentral is "partial 16S ribosomal RNA". It matches the Rfam family "Bacterial small subunit ribosomal RNA", at positions 28 to 507 of the family's 1533-position model. The record is from RNAcentral.
GACGAACGCUGGCGGCGUGCUUAACACAUGCAAGUCGAACGGUGAAGCAGAGCUUGCUCUGUGGAUCAGUGGCGAACGGGUGAGUAACACGUGAGUAACCUGCCCUUGACUCUGGGAUAAGCGUUGAAAACGACGUCUAAUACCGAAUACGAGCUGAGACCGCAUGGUCAUCAGUUGGAAAGAUUUUUUGGUCAAGGAUGGACUCGCGGCCUAUCAGCUUGUUGGUGAGGUAAUGGCUCACCAAGGCGACGACGGGUAGCCGGCCUGAGAGGGUGACCGGCCACACGGGGACUGCGAGACGGCCCAGACUCCAACGGGAGGCAGCGGUGGGGAAUAUUGCACAAUGGGCGCAAGCCUGAUGCAGCGACGCCGCGUGAGGGAUGACGGCCUUCGGGUUGUAAACCUCUUUUAGUUGGGAAGAAGCGAAAGUGACGGUACCUGCAGAAAAAGCACCGGCUAACUACGUG